This 446-nucleotide ribosomal RNA is filed under the name uncultured bacterium. Its description in RNAcentral is "bacterial SSU rRNA". It matches the Rfam family "Bacterial small subunit ribosomal RNA", at positions 329 to 792 of the family's 1533-position model. The record is from RNAcentral.
CGCCAGACUCCUACGGGAGGCAGCAGUGGGGAAUAUUGCACAAUGGGGGAAACCCUGAUGCAGCGGCGCCGCGUGAGUGAAGAAGUAUUUCGGUAUGUAAAGCUCUAUCAGCAGGGAAGAAAAUGACGGUACCUGAUUAAGAAGCCCCGGCUAACUACGUGCCAGCAGCCGCGGUAAUACGUAGGGGGCAAGCGUUAUCCGGAUUUACUGGGUGUAAAGGGGGCGCAGACGGCGAUGCAAGCCAGGAGUGAAAGCCCGGGGCCCAACCCCGGGACUGCUCUUGGAACUGCGUGGCUGGAGUGCAGGAGGGGCAGGCGGAAUUCCUGGUGUAGCGGUGAAAUGCGUAGAUAUCAGGAGGAACACCGGUGGCGAAGGCGGCCUGCUGGACUGCAACUGACGUUGAGGCCCGAAAGCGUGGGGAGCAAACAGGAUUAGAUACCCCCGUA